UACGUAGGGGGCAAGCGUUGUCCGGAAUCAUUGGGCGUAAAGAGCGCGUAGGCGGCCCUGUAAGUCCGCUGUGAAAGUCAAGGGCUCAACCCUUGGAUGCCGGUGGAUACUGCAGAGCUAGAGUCCGGAAGAGGCGAGUGGAAUUCCUGGUGUAGCGGUGAAAUGCGCAGAUAUCAGGAGGAACACCGAUGGCGAAGGCAGAUCUCUGGGCCGUAACUGACGCUGAGGAGCGAAAGCAUGGGGAGCGAACAGG
Molecule: ribosomal RNA, 253 nt
Filed under: uncultured bacterium
Lineage: Bacteria
Description: partial 16S ribosomal RNA
Rfam family: Bacterial small subunit ribosomal RNA
Source: RNAcentral